UUUCCGUAGGUGAACCUGCGGAAGGAUCAUUAUUGUAGGGACUCCGGUCCCCUCAAGAUGCAACCCGUGCCUUUUUUGUAGCCCGUAACGUUUCCUCGGCAGCCCCGCUGCCAGCGAGGACCCCCCCCAAACCAAACCUGCAAUCUCAGUAAAAAAUUCAGAAACCCCCCAAAAUUUAAAAACUUUCAACAAUGGAUCUCUUGGCUCUGGCAUCGAUGAAGAACGCAGC
This 229-nucleotide unclassified non-coding RNA is filed under the name uncultured fungus. RNAcentral describes it as "sequence contains ITS1, 5.8S rRNA gene". The stretch from base 181 to 229 matches the Rfam family "5.8S ribosomal RNA", at positions 1 to 49 of the family's 154-position model. The record is from RNAcentral. Lineage: Eukaryota; Fungi.